RNAcentral lists this ribosomal RNA (18 nucleotides) under Daldinia raimundi. RNAcentral describes it as "partial 28S ribosomal RNA". The record is from RNAcentral. Lineage: Eukaryota; Fungi; Ascomycota; Sordariomycetes; Xylariales; Hypoxylaceae.
GGUUGACCUCGGAUUAGU